GGGCGAUUAGCUCAGUUGGUUAGAGUGCUACGUUGACAUCGUAGAGGUCACAAGUUCGAGUCUUGUAUCGCCCACCU
RNAcentral lists this transfer RNA (77 nucleotides) under hydrothermal vent metagenome. RNAcentral's name for it is "tRNA-Val-GAC". It matches the Rfam family "tRNA". From Rfam's summary of the family: Transfer RNA (tRNA) molecules are approximately 80 nucleotides in length. The record is from RNAcentral.